GAUGAACGCUGGCGGCGUGCUUAACACAUGCAAGUCGAACGAAGCAUUUACGACAGAUUUCUUCGGAUUGAAGUUGUUUAUGACUGAGUGGCGGACGGGUGAGUAACGCGUGGGUAACCUGCCUUGUACUGGGGGAUAGCAGCUGGAAACGGCUGGUAAUACCGCAUAAGCGCACAAUGUUGCAUGACAUGGUGUGAAAAACUCCGGUGGUAUAAGAUGGACCCGCGUCUGAUUAGCUAGUUGGUGAGAUAACAGCCCACCAAGGCGACGAUCAGUAGCCGACCUGAGAGGGUGACCGGCCACAUUGGGACUGAGACACGGCCCAGACUCCUACGGGAGGCAGCAGUGGGGAAUAUUGCACAAUGGAGGAAACUCUGAUGCAGCGACGCCGCGUGAGUGAAGAAGUAAUUCGUUAUGUAAAGCUCUAUCAGCAGGGAAGAUAGUGACGGUACCUGACUAAGAAGCUCCGGCUAAAUACGUGCCAGCCGCCGCCGUAA
This 497-nucleotide ribosomal RNA is filed under the name uncultured bacterium. RNAcentral's name for it is "partial 16S ribosomal RNA". It matches the Rfam family "Bacterial small subunit ribosomal RNA", at positions 28 to 523 of the family's 1533-position model. The record is from RNAcentral.